AAUGAUCUUAUUUUAAGCUACUAGAUGAAUAGCUUGGUUUGGAUUGUGAUGAAGGACGUGGCAAGCUGCGAUAAGCUUGGGGUAGGCGCAUGCGGCCUUUGAACCCAAGAUUUCCGAAUGCGAUUAUACGCGUUUCUAUGAAAAAUCCUGAGAAGGAGAUUUACGCUGGGAAUUGAAACAUCUUAGUACCGGCAGGAAAAGAAAGAAAUUCGAUUCCCUUACUAGCAGCGAGCGAAAAGGGAACAGGGCAAACCGAAUCUUCUCUUGAAAGAGAGACAGAGAUGUGGUGAAGAUUAAGCCUAAGGAGUUGAGAAGAAGUCCCCUGGAACGGGGCACUUUAAAGGGUGAUAGUCCCGUACUCGAAAGCUCUAUGGUAUACUUCAAAAGAGUAGGGCUUCUUAGAUAGGAGGUCUGAAUAUGGGAGGAUUAACUCCCAACCCUAAACAUAAAUCCAAGUCCGAUAGUGAACUCAGUACCGCGAGGGAAAGCUGAAAAGUACCCUUAAUAGGGGGUUAAAAGACUUGAAAUCUAGUAGUUACAAUUGGUUACGGCAUUACGGUGUUGUAACGUACGUUUUGAAAAAUGGGCCACGGAGUGUAUUUAUGUGGCAAGGUUAAACUUGAAGCCGAAGCGAAAGCAAGUCUGAAAAGGCGAUAGUCACCUAGAUACGACACGAAACCAGACGAUCUAUUCCUGAGCAGGUUGAAGUUUUUCGAAAGGAGAAUGGAGGACCGAACCGGUGUUAUGUGCAUGUACUCGGAUGACUUGGGAAUAGGGGUGAAAAGCCAAUCUAGUUUGGCGAUGGCUGGUUCCUGUCGAAAUAUGCCGAAGUAUAGUCUUAUUGUGCUUGAGAACGAGGUAAAGUACGGAUAAGGUUCGCAGGUCCGCAAGGAUACGGAACCCUUUCCAACUCAGAACUUGUUCUCUGUAUACAAUAGGAAUGGGGGACGGUGCGUAAGGUGCUGUUUCCGAGACCCGAACAAGGGAGACUGAAGUUAAGGUCCCAAAAUUUAUGCUAAGUGUAACAAACUUGGUUUGAAACCAGAGACACUAGGGAUGUAGGCCCAGAAGCAGCCAUCAUUCAAAGAAAGCGUAACAGCUCACCUAUCGAGGUUUUAAGCGGGGAAAAUGGACGGGGCUAAGCAUACUACCGAUACUUCAGAGGCACUCGACAAUAUUAUGUCUUUUGGUUUUUUGAUAUUUAUUAACUGGAAGGGCUUCGGCUCUUCUGGUUUAAUUUUAUAUUCAAGAAACUGAAAAUAGAAAAGAUCAGAACACGAAAUAAUUAGUAACCGAAGAGUAAUAACAAAACCGAAAGGUUUUUAUAGGAAAAAAUAGCUGGAAGGUUAUGACAACAACAUUUAAUUAUAUGGAUGGAGACAAUAGAAAAAGGAAACAGAUAGAGGUAGGUGAAACCUUAGAAGCAUUUAGUUCUGGAGAUGUACUUCUUUUAACUAGAGAGUUUGAAGGACUUGAAGGCACCCCAAGAUCUGAAAGACCGAGACCAGGUCGCUAUCGUAUCGAGGAAAAACAAAUAGAAACUACUCCUCCUAGGGAUGGUGCUGUCAGCCAAAUUCACAUCACAUAUCA
This 1590-nucleotide ribosomal RNA is filed under the name Nanobdellota archaeon. Its description in RNAcentral is "partial 23S ribosomal RNA". The stretch from base 16 to 1282 matches the Rfam family "Archaeal large subunit ribosomal RNA", at positions 16 to 1422 of the family's 2987-position model. Lineage: Archaea; Nanobdellati; Nanobdellota. The record is from RNAcentral.